CCAUGAGAAAUAACUUUCUCUACAUCCUCUGUUAAGCAUACUCGAGUAUCUUUCAAGAGGAUUGAAGAUCCUACUAUGUAUAUGAGAUGGAGGAGGAAUAUACAUCUAUUGGCUUAUGAUAAAUAUGUUCUUAAGAUCCUAAGGCUCGCUGCUCUUCAGAAAUACUCUCUUUGAGCUUAACUUUCCUCCCGCUACAUCAUCUUGGUUAAGUAAU
RNAcentral lists this long non-coding RNA (214 nucleotides) under Elaeis guineensis (African oil palm). Its description in RNAcentral is "long non-coding RNA (EGUI_LNC060243)". The record is from RNAcentral. Lineage: Eukaryota; Viridiplantae; Streptophyta; Magnoliopsida; Arecales; Arecaceae.